CUUAGAAAUAGAAUUUAAGGUCUAAUCUGCCCACUGAAUAUUUAAAUGGCCGCAGUAAUUUGACUGUGCAAAGGUAGCAUAAUCAUUAGUUUUUUAAUUAAAAGCUUGAAUGAAUGAUUGGACGAGAUAAAAUCUGUCUUAAAUUAAAGUAUAGAAUUUAAUUUUUAAGUAAAAAAGCUUAAAUAUUUAUAAAAGACGAGAAGACCCUAUAGAUCUUUAUAUGGAUUUAUAUAUUUUUAAUUAGGAUUAUUUUAAAAGUUAUGUAAAAUUAUAUUUUAUUGGGGUAAUAAAAAGAUUAAAAUAAUUCUUUAUCUAUUUUACAUUUAUUAGUGAUUAUUUGAUCCUUUAUUAUGGAUUUAAGAUUAAGUUACCUUAGGGAUAACAGCGUAAUUUUUUUAGAGAGUUCUUAUCGAUAAAAAAGUUUGCGACCUCGAUGUUGGAUUAAAAUUAAUUUUAGGUGUAGUAGUUUAAAAUUUUGGUCUGUUCGACCAUUAAAUUUUUACAUGAUCUGAGUUCAGACCGGCGUAAGCCAGGUCGGUUUCUAUCUUUAUUAGAAUAAAAUAUUUUAGUACGAAAGGAUYAAAUAUUAAAUAUAAUUAUAUUUAUUUAUAGUUUUGAAUAUUA
This 624-nucleotide ribosomal RNA is filed under the name Carabhydrus plicatus. RNAcentral describes it as "partial 16S ribosomal RNA". The stretch from base 378 to 536 matches the Rfam family "Bacterial large subunit ribosomal RNA", at positions 2473 to 2632 of the family's 2925-position model. Lineage: Eukaryota; Metazoa; Arthropoda; Insecta; Coleoptera; Dytiscidae. The record is from RNAcentral.